CAGGGAUGGCGGCUCCCCAUCAGAGAGGCAAAUUCAUUAGGAGUAAUCCUUGAACACCAGAACUGUAUAGACAGCGCAGGAUGUAGGAGUCACCCGACAAAAAAAGGCUUGUCACCAUCAGAGAGGCUUGACUAUUAUACUGCCUUAGGCUUAACUUCCUAUGAGGGUCACCUAUCAGAUAGACUAGACCAAAGAGGUCUUUAAC
RNAcentral lists this long non-coding RNA (205 nucleotides) under Capsicum annuum. Its description in RNAcentral is "long non-coding RNA (CANN_LNC011323)". Lineage: Eukaryota; Viridiplantae; Streptophyta; Magnoliopsida; Solanales; Solanaceae. The record is from RNAcentral.